GCAGACCAUCAAGAUCGACGGGAAGCAGAAAUUUUUGCAGUAGGCAAUUUGUGGAAAUAGUUUCAGUUGGUAUUUACCUCGAAAAGCUUAUCGAUACCCUUCUUCCAGACGCAUCGGACGGGCUUCUCAAGGGAAUAAUCUGGAAUCGUGGCCAGCCUUUACUAAAGCUCUUGUCCCAUAUUUGGUAUCCGUUAUAUAAAAAUCUGCUGUCAAUCUCUGUCCAAGACUAUUCAAAUGGUGGGACUGAAAGCAACUUAAGUCAAGAAUAACAGAGGUCCAGUUUGCAGCGACAGGUUCAAACUGAUGCUUCUUGUAUUUGCAUGAGAGGUUAAGUGAGAAGGGGGUUUUACAGAGAGAAACAAGCUUAUGACAGUAAAAGAUGCCAGAUCAUCAUUAUACGUCUGGGUUAAACAGCUUUGAAACGAUACAAUAAAGGAAGGACAAAAGUUAUUAUUUCUCUGGAUAGAAUUUGGAACAGACGAAAGUCUGAGAAAUAUUUGAAGAUAUUGAACAUUACUGAUGAGCAUACCUCAACGUAAGCUAAAUUCCACUGGAAGCAUCGGGCAGUUAAGACGGGCUUGCUUUAACUGGCAUCCGAUAUUCAUACAAGGGUUGAUGUGUAAACACAUUUUCCAGCCUUUUCAUAUGAAGAUUCGAGAGAGAAAUCUCCACAAGAAGCAAACUAAGACAAUGGGAAAAA
Long non-coding RNA from Zingiber officinale, 700 nucleotides. RefSeq lists it as uncharacterized. The record is from RefSeq and is a predicted model, not a curated record. Lineage: Eukaryota; Viridiplantae; Streptophyta; Magnoliopsida; Zingiberales; Zingiberaceae. The transcript has 5 exons.